Molecule: ribosomal RNA, 460 nt
Filed under: uncultured bacterium
Lineage: Bacteria
Description: partial 16S ribosomal RNA
Rfam family: Bacterial small subunit ribosomal RNA
Source: RNAcentral
CCUACGGGAGGCAGCAGUGAGGAAUAUUGGUCAAUGGGCGCGAGCCUGAACCAGCCAAGUAGCGUGAAGGAUGACUGCCCUACGGGUUGUAAACUUCUUUUAUAUGGGAAUAAAGUGAAGCAUGUGUGCCUUUUUGUAUGUACUAUAUGAAUAAGGAUCGGCUAACUACGUGCCAGCAGCAGCGGUAAUACGGAGGAUCCGAGCGUUAUCCGGAUUUAUUGGGUUUAAAGGGAGCGUAGAUGGGUUGUUAAGUCAGUUGUGAAAGUUUGCGGCUCAACCGUAAAAUUGCAAUUGAUACUGGCAGUCUUGAGUACAGUUGAGGUAUGCGGAAUUCGUGGUGUAGCGGUGAAAGGCUUAGAUAGCACGAAGAACUCCGAUUGCGAAGGCAGCUUACUAAACUGCCACUGACAUUGAUGCUCGAAAGUGUGGGUAUCAAACAGGAUUAGAUACCCGUGUAGUC